UCAUUUUAAAAAUCUUAUUGUAAUCAUUUUAAAAAUUAAUGUGAUGUUUAAUUAUACAGCAUAGUGAGUUGUUCAACACCCCAACUAGAAUCUGAACUAAUUAACAAAGUAACUAAACAAAUGUUAUUGUGAAGAAUGUGUUUGUCCCCACUCAAACAAUCGUUAGACAGCCGUAGAGAUACAUAUUAGGUAUAUCCUCAUUAAGUUGACCAAAAUAGACAAAUACUAUUAUUGUAUAAAGAGUACAUAGUACGGAGUAUAUAAUUAUAAUAUUCACAAUUUUUGAUUAGUUAAAACUUAAAAUCUAAAUAUACCCUUUUUGUCGUUGUGGCAACAUAAUUUUAACAAUUCUAAUACUUAUGAAUGGUUCCAUCAAGAAAUCUCCUUUUCUGCCAAGUUAGGUGUAUGUAUGUAUGUAUGAAUGUCUUCGCGUAUAUGUCAUUUUAUUUUUAUUUUAUUUUUGCUAAGAAUGUGAUUUUCCUUACGAUGAAGUAAUGUAAAAGCGAUACAAGAAACUUGAAUCCCAGUCUGCUAACAAGCAAAUUGGUAUCAAAGAGCCCCUAAAAAGAUAUUAAAAAAACUUUCAACUAUGGUAUUUUUAGCAUGAACCAUUUUUAAUAGUUAAAGGAACGAAUAGAAUGUAUCUUUAUGUAUGGUGUUGAUUAUAAGAAAAAAACCAACGGGCCACUUUUCCGCAAGGUGAAGACAUCCUUAAGGGCAUUCUCGUUUGGGGGGGGAGGUGAGACGCUGGGUAUGAUUGACUUCGAUUUAUUAGAUGAGGUUUUUUAUUCAUGAUUUGAUAUUUUUUUAUUUUCUAACACUUUUCGGCUAAGAAACGGUUAUUGGGAGGGAAAGAGGGAGGUGGAGGUGAAACGCUGGGCAUGAUUGACUUCGAUUUAUUAGAUGAGAUUUUUUAUUCAUGAUUUGACAUUUUUUUUGUUUUUUAACACUUUUUGGCUAAGAAACAGUUCUUAUAUAUUUUAUUUAAGAGACGAUUUUUAAUUUUUUUUAGUUAAAAUUUAAAAGAUUAAGUUUAAUCAUGGUCUUCUUCGUAAUACUAUUAUUUAUGAGAGUUUCUAUUAGAUGUUUUCAGAGGCGUGCCUACAGUGUAUUGAAAAAGGCAUUCGCCUCAGGCCCCCGAUUAAUAUGAAUGUUUUUAGGGUCCUAAAAUUUUAAAUAAUAUAUAAUCUUAUGGUUUAGACUUAUGUAAAAAAAAAUAUUUCUACGAAAAUUAAUUAAUUCAUUUUCUGAAUUCAUGUAUUUUUUUUUCUAUAUGACAUAAUAUAAC
Molecule: long non-coding RNA, 1288 nt
Filed under: Brassica rapa (field mustard)
Lineage: Eukaryota; Viridiplantae; Streptophyta; Magnoliopsida; Brassicales; Brassicaceae
Description: long non-coding RNA (BRAP_LNC002167)
Source: RNAcentral